GAGAGGCCUAUAAAUUCAAGCCUUUGGAAAGGAAUGAAAACUCAAAACAAAAAUUUCAAGUAGGCCUGAAGUACUAUCUUACUAUGGCGAUGUUUAAACUUGGUUUGGUUCUCACUAUUCUUCUCGUGGCAACUACAUGUUAGUAUCCCUUUAUCUUUAUCUCUAAAUUAUUAUUGUGUUGUCAUUAACUCGUUCUGUAUAUGAUAUAAAAUAAAAGGGACAGUCCAGUGCACAAAGUAUCCCGUAUAUUUGCAGUAUUCGGGGAAUGGCCGCAUUCCAAGGAUUGUGAUGUAGACAGUCUACCCUAAUGCAAGCAUUAGUGGUUGCUUCCAUCGCUCGAACCUCUGACCUAUAUGUUACAGGAAGACAACUUUACUGUUGCUCCAAAACUCUCGUUCUAAAUGAUAUACAAUAUACACAUAUUUGAUAUGUAUGCAUGAAUAUGCAUGCGUUCCUAUGUAUUGCGAUUGAUUGUUUUGCUUUUCAUGUUAUACUUGUCAUCUUUUAAUUUUGAUAAUUAUAUCGGUGAAAUAUUUCAGUUAAUAUGGUGUGGCUAUCAAACACACAUGUGGAUGCUGCACGAAAUGCUGAUAUGGAUAUUUCAGGACUGGAGAGGAGACUACUGCCACAACUUAAUUCCUGGAUUACCUGUAACAACAAAUGCAUCGUAAAUAGUGAUUGUCAUGGUUGCUGGUUUUGCUGCACAUGUACAACUUGGAAGUUAUGCGGGUAUAUUGCUUGAACGUAGUAUAUUACUGAUCAAUUGCAACAAACUCUGCAAAAUCCUCGCUAUGGGUCUGUGUUUCCGUGUGGUUUGAUUACUGUUUUUAUUUUGUUUUCAUGCUUUGUAUAAUAAUGAAGUCAAGUGAAGUGCUUUCUCUAUUGUAAGGAAUAAUAAUGUAUUACCGCUUGUUUGGAUGGUUGCUACUGUAUUACACCUUGUUUGUUUUGAUUGUUACUUAAAUUUUAUAUAUUGUAUUGUAUCGUUAAAUCCAUCAUUACGUAACAACAAAAAGUGUCACCUUACAAAACGACUGAUUUGGUGAAGUCGUAUCGUUACUUUAUUUUUUCUCUCAAUCUUGC
This 1083-nucleotide long non-coding RNA is filed under the name Nicotiana tabacum (common tobacco). RNAcentral's name for it is "long non-coding RNA (NTAB_LNC008904)". Lineage: Eukaryota; Viridiplantae; Streptophyta; Magnoliopsida; Solanales; Solanaceae. The record is from RNAcentral.